CCUCCCUUCCCACCUCUCUGCUCCCCCAGCUCAGACCCUGGGUGCCGCGCAGCCACAGCUGCUCACACUGAUCCUGCUAUCUGGCAAUAUUCCUCUUCUCCUGCCCACUGUCUCUGUCCCUGUCAACUCAGGUAUCCCAUUUGUCUGUCUUAGGAUCUAGACAUCCCUUGGGGAAAGGAGGUGGAAGCUGUCUCUGCUCUGCUGUGCCCUAAUAGCUUAAGGUCUCUGACCACAGUGUUACCCUUCUGGAGGAACACAUUUCACUUCAGAGAAGGUCACAGACUGGAAUAAACAUAUGGAUCUGCACUGAUCUUCACAGAGGCCUCAUCUACAGUCAGAGAGAGGGCCAAGUCUUGACAGUGAUGUCUGCAGGAGUACACUGGCAUCUGUUGAGAGUGCCUCUCUUCAACCCCUAAAACAGAAUGGAUGUCAUGGGUGCCCAUAUGUCCAUCCCAUGCCUUCUUCUGUGGAGAUUUCCAGUGGUGCCAGGGACAGAACUGGAGAUGGCUGUCUCUGGGAAGAAGGAAUGCUCCUCUGGCUUUCUACAGAAGAAGAAAUACACGGCCAUUUAACACUAGUAGCCAAAGUUGAUGGAACCUUAGCCUAUGAGAAUGUACUUCAAAUCUCCCAUUUUUAAGCAGAGAAACUGCAACACAAGCCC
This is a long non-coding RNA of Gallus gallus (chicken), 661 nucleotides long. Lineage: Eukaryota; Metazoa; Chordata; Aves; Galliformes; Phasianidae. The record is from Ensembl.